CCUCCUGCGCACAGUUUCUUUCUUCUUCUUUUUCUUCCUUAUCUCCAUUUCUCUCUCUCUCCAUAUUCUUUUCUUUCCCUCUCUCUUAAUUUUCUCUCCCAAUCUUCAUCUAUUUUAGAAUCUGAUUAGACCAUGUUGUAGCUGACGAGUUAAGGAACAUUUCUACCGAUCAGAUUUUCAAACAGAGUAAGUUCAUUUUUACUCUAAAUAUCCUUUGUUCUCUGUUUUUCCUUAGGAUUUAGUCAUCAAUCUUGGUGGGGUCAGUUGAGAAGUUUAAUCCUCUCAACUUAUUCUAUUAUAUACUGAAAUUUUGUUUUGUUUGGAUAAUUUGCAUUAGGCCCGUAAAUCUUGAAGUCUAUCCAAACGGUGAGGAAUAAAAUUCUAAAAGUUGCUUGGAAAGCAAGCAAUUGAGGUAAGGGAAGCUAAAUUUAAUUUUUAAUAGCACCCUAGGAUAGAAGAUCUGAAUGCAGAAGGGACGUGGUCCCAAUAUUCAAUUUCUCUUGCAGGGAUGUUGUGUGCUUAUUUAUAUUGGGUUGUUUGUUUAUAUAUUAUUUAAAUUUGUGGAAAUAUUGGAUUUUGAUGAUUUAUUAUUAAAGUGUUAUUUUUUUAUGUCAAAUAAACUUUUGAAUAUUGUGGAUAACUUUUUGAAUGAUAUUGUAUGACAGAAUGGUAUGGAAUUGAAUUCAUACAUUUGGGAUAAUGUAUGGACUGAUGUUUGUUGUGUAUUAAGUAUUGAUGCCUAUGUGGUAACAGAGAUCUCAGAGCUUCACUGAUGAUUUAAGUCACAUAGACUAAGAUAUCAGGUGGUGAGAAGCUGAUGGGGGAGUUCAUGCACACCGUGACAUAUGAGAUGCACGGCUUGGGUUGUAUUGAACUUACCCUGAUCCUUUCUGUUGGAUUCGCUGGUAAUCUUUGGAUCAGGUGUUAGUCUCUGGUAGGACUUACUUAAUAAGGGUCUUCCGGAAGACGUUGUUUGUUGAACAUUCUAGAUGUGUAGAUCCAUGUGAGAUCUAUGUGAUUGUUUAUUGUUGAGAUUUGAAGAAAUUUGAAUAAUUUGAGAAAUUGAUCAUGUAAUUUGGUUUUCUUUUUUGAUUUAAUUGUGUAUAUUAUAAAAUUCUAUUUUCACUAGCUUACCCUUGCUUUUCUUGUUGUGUUUGAACUGCAAUGACUAUACUAUGUAUACGAGCAGAUGACCAUACAGGUGCAGGAGAGCCUUAGAGGGUUCAGAGUCUUAUUUUGAGCUCUGGAUAUGUAACUAUUUGUAUUUCUAUAAAUCCUAAUCAUGUAUUAGGAAUGUUUUUUAAAAACUCCAAAUUUAUAUAGAAACUGGUAGAACUUUUAUUGUAAUAGUUAUAUGUAAAUUAUGGGGUGUUACACCAACCACCAUAAGAAUUCAAAUAUAUCAAUAUAAGUUAUAAUAACAAGUACUUAAA
RNAcentral lists this long non-coding RNA (1433 nucleotides) under Phaseolus vulgaris (common bean). RNAcentral describes it as "long non-coding RNA (PVUL_LNC003397)". The record is from RNAcentral. Lineage: Eukaryota; Viridiplantae; Streptophyta; Magnoliopsida; Fabales; Fabaceae.